This is a non-coding RNA of Zootoca vivipara (common lizard), 4009 nucleotides long. The record is from RefSeq and is a predicted model, not a curated record. Lineage: Eukaryota; Metazoa; Chordata; Lepidosauria; Squamata; Lacertidae.
ACACAUGAGCAGGACAUAUUGCAAAGUUGCCUUCAAGAUUUCUCAUGUAUAUAAGUUAUACCUGAAUGACUAUUUUUAAAAAAGAAACCUUCAGAAAAAGGUAGCAGUCUUCAUCUGUUGUAGCAAAAUCAACAAUGAGCCUUGAGACCCUUUAAAGCAUGACAGAUUUUUUUGUGGACUUGAGCCCACUUCACCAGAUGCAUGAAGGUAUUGUCCUUAAUUGGCAGAAAUAUAAAAUACAUGGGUAUAGAGGAAGCAGCGGGACCAAAUGGCCAUGAAAGGGAAGGUAUAUUUUCUGACAAUUCUUUGUAAAGGUUAAACGUAUACUGUAUUUGCAAAAGCAGUAAUAUGCACUAGCCAGGAAUUUGUACUCACGAAUUACUGCUACUGUGAAUGGACACUGUACUUGUGCGUUUGUAACCAAACCAUGGUAUUGCUAAGCCCAAACCAUGGGUAAAUGUGAACAGGCAAGUAUGUGGUACUUGCAGCAAAAAUUGCAGCAACUUUUUUUCUUUCCUCAGUCUUGCUGCUGAACUUCCCAGAGCUAAGCCAUGGUUUAGCUUAGCAUUGUUUCCAACCUGGGUUCAUGGUUUGUCCAGGGAAGACAAACUAGGAGUCAGGGUUUGAACACAGCACUAUACCAGGCUAUGGCUAGACUUUGGGGAGUGUGUCAGCAGCAGGGCUAAAGGAGCAGAGUGGCCAUGAAUACUUUUUGUGUGUACCUGUAUGCUUGUCCACACUUAGCUUGUUCACACUUAGUUUGAUGUAUCAUCAUGUGCAAACUGGGCCAAUUGUAUUUCAUGGCUAUCAGACCUCAUUGUUCACCAUUUUUUUGAGUUUAUACACAUGCACACACAAUUCCAACUGAGGAUAACUCUUCAUGUAUUUGAUGAAGUCUACCCUAGUCCAUUAAAGAUUAUGCCACAAUAAAUACGUUGGGUUUUAAAACGUCACAAAGCUGCUUGUUAGAUCUUGAAUGGGUGCUGAAUGUGGGGAGAAUCAAGGAUUAACACACACACCCCAAUGGCUUCUGUUGUCUGAGAAACAGCAAAAUGUGGUCUCAUCCGAUGAACAGAACUUGCUGAGAAGACAGGACUGGUAAUAAUUAUGGCACCGCUCAAACUGCACUCUACACUUGAUGUUUUUUGCUUGCUAAAUAUGAACAAACUGAAUUAAUCUAUUUUUUGUGUGUGGCCAUUUGAAGCCUUAGUACAUUGCAAGAAGGAUUAAUUUGUAUAUAAUUUUAUUAAGCUUUCUGUUUUACAAUUUAAAAUACUCAUUUUACAUCCUCAAGAUAUCAGUGACUUCCCUCCUUUUCUUUCCCUGGUUCAUUUUACAUAUCAUAAAUCCCUGCAUAUUUUACAAAAACGGCAUAUUUUAUCAUAAAUCCCUGCAUAUUUUACAAAAUCCAGUAUUCCAUUAUUGCAUCCAUCAAAACCUGUUUACACUGUUGGAUUUCUCUUAAUGCUGCCAGUGUUUUCAGCAGCACACAAUUACUUCCCGUAUAUUCAAUAAACAUUUUCCAAUCUUCUUUAAAUAUAUAUUGUUUUUGUUCUCUUACUCUAUAUGUUAAGUCUGCGAGUUGUGCAUAUUUUGUCAACUUAAGUUGUCAUUCUUCUUCAGUUGGGACCUCACUCGUUUUCCAUUUUGGGGCUAACAAAACACGGGCCGCAGUAGUAGCAUACAUAAAUAGAAGGGUUAAUUUGGGUUUGGGGUUUUGUUUGUUUUGCUUCAAACAGUAAAUACUUUUUUUCAUCUAGCUAAGUUCCUUGUGUCUUUUUGACAAUUUCUUUUUGACAUUUUUUUACAAAUGAGGGAAAGUUCAGAACAGCUUGAAGGCUGGUAUUUUGGCAUUAAGUCUUUUUGCUAUGCGGUUGGUCAAUGGCACAAUUGGCACAUGCUCUAGUGAUCAGUGUACCACUUUAAGUCUAUCAUUUGCAUAUGUUUCAGGAAGGGUGUGUUGGUUUUAAAACAUUCUUUCAGAAGGAGGAAGAGAGUUUGUAGUGCAUCUCUCUAUCUGCUGUGUAGUCUCUUUCUUUCUUUCUUUCUUUCUUUCUUUCUUUCUUUCUUUCUUUCUUUCUUUCUUUCUUUCUUUCAUGUGACUUUUAAAAUCGUUGUUUUCCCCCCUGCACAGCAUCCUCCGCUCACCAAACUUGAAAUGACUAGAACAUUUCUAGACAACAGUCUUGCAGUUCAACAAAUGCUGCACAGUUGCUACAUAUUAUUUGCACAGGAUCUAGUCACCUUCACUUAGAAAUCACUUCUGGUCAUAUCACACUUUUCUAAGUGCUCGGAGAGCAAUAGCUUUGCUCAGGGCUUUUUUUUUCUCCAGCCGGAACUUGCUGGAACUCAGUUCCAGCACCUCGCAAGUAGGCGCCAUUGCCAUUAUAAGAGAACCAGGGAAGCAUUCAUGGUAAGUUCCGGCACCUCUUUUUCUAGAAAAAUAGCACUGACUUUCUGGGGAAAUGUGAUUAUUUCCCAUAAGAAGUUGAAUCAUUUUGAUCUUGGAGGGCUAUCUGAAAUGAGUUGUCGGGUAUCUUCUUCCUUGCUAUUAUUAUUAUUGUUUGUUUGUUUGUUUACCCUAACACUUGUGCUUAGCCAGAAAAUAAAGGGCUUUUAAGGAAGCUGAACCUUGACUAGUCGGUCGCAGGUCAAAAGCAAGGUGUGAUUAUGGUGGGCUUUGCUAGGCAGACACAACAAACAAGUGUCUCUCCUUAGGAGAGUGAUAGCAGGAGCUAAUGCCACUUGUUUUUGGUUUCAGAGUUGGAUGCCACUUAGCUGACAGUAUAGCCAGAGCAUAGUAAAAGAAUUAGAAAACAUCAAGGGUGCUUUUAGAUGUGGUGAACAUUGUGUUGGUUUUCCUGAUCAUAAUGCUAGUGGCUCUGUCUCAAUUUCUAAUGUUCCUUUCACACUGCAGCACUUAUUGCAGGGGCAGCAUCUCAUGUGUGCCAAGCUAUUGCCCCCCACAAUAAAUUUUAUUUGGAGGGGGCAGGUCCCUCCAAUGUUCCAAGCGAUUAGGGGGUGCAGAGGAGGAGGCUGAGUGCAGAGCUGAGCGUAGCACAGCUUCUGUGGUUGUCUCCUCUUCCUGCCAUGGAAAGAGGCCCCAGCUCCAUCGCAGUGUCGUGCAUGUGACGUCAUACACGUGUCGUGAUGCUACAGGCCCCCCCAACAAAAAUUGUAGCGUGAUUUGGCACCUCUGACUUACUUUCUUAUAAAAAUGUGACUUGACUCAUAUAAUGGUGCAUCACACUGAAUUUCAUUCACACCAGAGGGCAUGGUGUGACCCAACAACGAAUGUCAUUGGACAUCAUUUCUCCACAUGUGUGCUUCUGUUCCCCCAUGAUUCCCUCAUGAAAAUGGCAGGGAAGAACUGUCAAAUAAUGGUAUACCGCCCCAAUUUUGCCGCUUCAAACAGAAUUUUUUUUCCUGGAAUCGGAUUAAUGGAUUAUAUAGUUUUCAGGAAGUCAGGUGGGGAAACAUUGGGGAAACAGAGUAAACUGCCGUGUGAAUGCAUCCUAGCCUAGCAGCCACCUCCCAGGCUUCCUUUCCUAUUGUUAACCUGUCCUUUCCCCUAGGAUGGGAGGUAGUGUUUAUGUGCCUUUGUAUCAGGCACUGGGGGCAUGAAAGGGGAAAAUGAGGAGAGAGGGGGGAGGGCAGGCAAAGACCAUCACAUGUCUGUUCCCCUCAUCAUCUGCUGCUUCCAUACCAUAUGUUAUUUAAAGGAACUAAAUGUUCUUCAUGUGUGGGAAGUUUCUUUGUUUGUUUAGUGUGUGUGUUUUUUGUUCGGUAUCAAAAUUCUGUUUUUCAGUCUGUUAGCUUCAUAAUUCUUCCCACCAUCACCACCCGCAUUUUCUCUUAAUGGGUCUUUAUUUCUUUUAUCCAUUUUGAUGUUUAAAUUGCAAGGUUUCUGCUGAAACGGUUGUGUUUUAUUAAUGUUGUAAGACAAAAAAAAAAAGCGGGGGUGUUUGUGCAGAACUAAUAAGCCACUUCUGCCCAGUUGAAUUUUAAU